This 492-nucleotide ribosomal RNA is filed under the name uncultured bacterium. Its description in RNAcentral is "partial 16S ribosomal RNA". It matches the Rfam family "Bacterial small subunit ribosomal RNA", at positions 29 to 507 of the family's 1533-position model. The record is from RNAcentral.
AGUGAACGCUGGCGGUAGGCCUAACACAUGCAAGUCGAACGGCAGCACAGUAAGAGUUUGCUCUUACGGGUGGCGAGUGGCGGACGGGUGAGGAAUACAUCGGAAUCUACUUUUUCGUGGGGGAUAACGUAGGGAAACUUACGCUAAUACAGCAUACGACCUACGGGUGAAAGCAGGGGAUCUUCGCACCUUGCGCGAUUGAAUGAGCCGAUGUCGGAUUAGCUAGUUGGCGGGGUAAAGGCCCACCAAGGCGACGAUACGUAGCUGGUCUGAGAGGAUGAUCGGCCACACUGGAACUGAGACACGGUCCAGACUCCUACGGGAGGCAGCAGUGGGGAAUAUUGGACAAAGGGCGCAAGCCUGAUCCAGCCAUACCGCGUGGGUGAAGAAGGCCUUCGGGUUGUAAAGCCCUUUUGUUGGGAAAGAAAAGCAGCAGGUUAAUACCCCGCUGUUCUGACGGUACCCAAAGAAUAAGCACCGGCUAACUUCGUG